UUUAAUAUUUAAAAUCCGUGCGAAUAACCGUAGGUUAUAUAUCAAUCAUCGCCUCGGUUCGUUUUUCGCCACGUUAUUAUCCACACUGUUAUUCCGUGCAAUCUACAAGGGAAUCAAGGAUCGGGACAACACCUCGUUAUUAUUCCAUUUGCGAAAUUUCACGAGAUCGUCCAACGAUCGAUCCGCCGAGUAAAUAACACCAAUUUAAAAGGACGGCGUAACGAUGCGUACGUUGGCUCGGCGUUGUGUUUGCGCCACCAGGAAGAAAACGCUGCGCUGCACUUGGUUCAGUUUAUAGAAAGCACACGAUUGCGUUGGUGGCUUCGCCUCUCUUUCUCUCUCUCUCUCUCUUUUCUAUACGUCAAUGCGCGAACACGCUCGCGCGAGAAUCGUUCGUCCGUUGCGAGCCGAUCGGAUACUUUGAUUACGGAUCGAAUGAAACAACAACAGCGAGGAAGAGAUGAUUCGUUUCGAGAAGGGAGGAAAGACUAACGUGAUUGUGAUCGGGCGAUUAGAAUUAAAAAGAUGUGUUAAAAAGAUAAGAGUUCAAUUUUUAAGUUAAUAGAAAAGGAAACGAGAGAUACUUCUUACCAAUUUUCUUACUUCUACAUUGUAUUCGUAAUUGUAUUAUCUUCUCUCGCGAUCCGACGGUAAGCGAGUUUUGAAAUGGAGUAUACACAUCGCAUUUUAAGGUCAAAGAUGUAUACAAGUCUGAAUGUGUACAUGUCCAUAAAUCCAGCACAAACUAACAAUAGAUAGACUUCGAUUUUUCUCUGUACACAUAAAUUUAUGUCCUCGUUAAAUCAUAGAAUCGCCACGUAGGCGUGGAUCGUUUGUUAAUGGAUACGGAUACGGGCGCAGGGUGGGAACGGAUCAUUCCGUUCGAGGAAUGAAAUCAAAGAGAUCGGGAUAAAAAUUUUUACGCGAUUAUUAAUAAUCGCGCUUUUACGAUCACCGUAAAUUUUUACGCAAUAUUUACCCGUAAAAAGCAAUAUGUUUAACACUUGUUGAGAAACGAGAAUAGAAUAUAUAUUUCCUUCGCGCUGUUUGCCUUUUUUUCGUUUUUGUCGAAUCGCGUGCUAUUGUGUUGCCGCAUGUAGCCGCGUGUGCACGAGAGAGCCGCGCAUGCGCGUGUGCGCCUUAUAGACGCCUAUAGAGGUAUCAAGCGGAGCUCGAGUUAAAAGCGUGCAGUGUUCUCUUGUGCUCCUCGUGCUGGUGGGACCUUGUUUCAUGACCCACAUAAAGCAAGGCCGUUAACACUACUCACGAGUGUUGCGCGCGUAUGGGUGCGGGCCCCAACGAGCUACUCGCCGUUCUAUGGGACCCCACGUGUCCCCUCCGCGGUUGCCGGGGCGAGGGAGGGAGGAAGGGAGGAGGAGGAGGAGGAGGAGGCCCGACGACGUGCCCCUCUGAUAUAUACGCUACCUGCAUAUACCGGCAUGUAUACCUCCUGUAUGUAUGCGCCUUCGUAUUACCAUACGUCACGUGUACGUGUACGUGUAAGAUGAAGCAGAGAAGAUGGACUUGUUGGUGUGCGUAAGACAAGUGGACCUGUAUGUCGAAAUACGUGUGCGUGCACGAGAGAGCUUGAGAGCUCUGUCUAUACAGGACUGAAUCUGUUCCUAACUACGUAAAUAAUUAACCGUUGAUAGAGAAGUGGAGAAAUAUUAUUAUGACCUGAAAUAUUAUUAUGUUUACUGAUGCAAUCAUGUUAUACGGAUUAAUAGAGAGUAAAGGGGGAUGGAAAGCGAAGGGAAAAAAAUUACUUGUUUUCGAAUAUUUCUGUACUCGACAUCCAGAUUCAAUGGAAGAAAGGAUGAAUUAUUCGUGAAAAUUUGGUGCGCGGUUAUACGAGCGAUAUUUGGCGUUGAAAAAGAAAAAUUGUAUCCAAGAAAUGUUGUAUCCAAAACGAAGAGAAAAUCAGUGUUGCUGUUUAUAUUUAUCGAAAAGCGAAGCAAUAAAGGAUAUACGUAUACCGAAAGUUAAGCGUUAGGUCCUGGGUCCUGUUCGUGUAGCACUGUAUGUAGCAUUUAUUAUAUAGCGUGCGCACUGAAUGCACAUCCGUGUACGAGUGUGUGCGUGACUGGACAAGUUAGUAGGUCACACGGAUUGAGGAACAUAUCGGUGGGCGUGAGUCGUGCGCACACUAAUAUCCGACAUUAUCGGUGGAGAACUGUGACUCGAAACGCGGCUUCACGAGGUACCUUGAUCUUGACUAGAUGCAAGGUCCAUUUCGCUGUCGUCGUACGUUCAAUAAGGCAUUGCUCCUAUUUGCUUUCGCAUUGUUUGCAUUACUACCGCGUAUUAAACGGAUUUCAUGCGUAGCUAGACUUUAAAUAGGGAAAGUUUUAAAACUUAUUAUAUAUUUACAAAUUUUCCGUUAAAUCUAUUAAAUUGUAUGAUGUAUCGCGACAAAAUUGCUUUACUUUUGUAUUGGAAAAUAUCUGGAAAUUUUAAUAAAAAAUAAAAAUAAGAACAA
Molecule: long non-coding RNA, 2479 nt
Organism: Apis mellifera (honey bee)
Lineage: Eukaryota; Metazoa; Arthropoda; Insecta; Hymenoptera; Apidae
Exons: 3
Source: RefSeq, a predicted model, not a curated record